ACCCUAACACCUGUACACGUGGAAGCUGGACUCUCACAGGACUCUCUAGUGCCCUUGUCUUCUCCAGUGCAGACCAUGGUCUUCUUGCAGUGAGAGUACAUGGUCCCCUCUGUGCACACAGCCCGGGAGCCCAAUGACUGCCUGCAACACCCCAUGCAUCAGCUGUCCUCCACAGUCAGCCUGCAAGACAAGCCAAAGGCAGAAGCUGUGGGUCUUUUCCUCUCUCAUUGAAGAUCAUUUACUAUACUGCAAAGAAGGACUUGGGGGUGCUGGUGGAUGAGAAGCUGGACAUGAAUAAAUGGUGUGCACUUGCAGCCCAGAAAGCCAUCCUGGGCUGCAUUAAAAGAACCCUGACCAGCAGGACAAGGAAGAUGAUUCUGCCUCUCUACUCUGCUGUCAUGAGACCCUACCUGGAGUGCUGCAUCCAGCUCUGGAUCCUCAGCACAGGAAAGACAUGGACCUGUUGGCACAAGUCCAGAGGAGGGCCACAAAAAUGACUGGAAGACUGGUGCACCUCUCCUGUGAGGAUAGGCUGAGAGAGUUGGGGCUGUUGAGCGCGGAAAAGAGAAGGCUUCAGGAAGACCUUACUGCAGUCUUUCAAUAAUUAAAGGGGGUUUAUAAGAAAGAUAGGAACAGCCUUUAAGCAGGGCUUGUUGCAGCAGGUUUUAAACUAAAAGAUGGUAAAUUCAUACAAGAAAUAAGGAAAAAUUUGUUAUGAGAGUAAUAAGUUGCCCAGAGAAACUGUGGACAUCCCAUUCCUGGAAACAUUCAAGGUCAGCUUGGAUGGGGUUCACUGCAGAGGCAAUUAUACUAGGUGACCUUUAAAGGUCCCUUCCAACUCAAAGUAUUCUAUGAUUCUAUCCUCUUAGCAGAUCUUCCACAUCAAAAAUGUUACAGAAGACUUGAAUUCUACAAGUUAUUUUAAGAAUCCACCUUCAGUUUGGUUAAGACUUUAAUUUCGUAACACCCUAAAAUAUAUGUCAAGAAUGUAACUAUUUCACAUUACCAUUUUUUUGUAAAAGUGGCAGCACUGUGCUUGCAAGAGUUACAUGGAAAGGUAGAUUAUCUUGCUUGAGAUAUGUCUGUAAAAACAGCUGGUUUUCCUUUGCAGUGCAACGUGAAAUAGGGACUGACUGAGUCAAGUUAUAGAAAUUUUCCUUUCUAAUAAAAUUGAGGUUAGACAUGGAAAAUUAUCACUUGAAUAAAUGAGAGCUUGGAGCUUAAUAGAAAUAUUUCAGAGAACUCAGGGAAAUUGCCUAUCCUCUUCCUGAAGACAAGAGACUAAAAAUAAAAUAAUAUAAAUGUAUUUUCUUAUGACCCAAUUUGUAAUGGUUUAAAUUGUUUAAAAAUGCAUGGGUAAAUCUUAUUUUUAAACAAAGACAUUUCUAAAAACUUUAGAUGGUUACAAUCUUUUAGACACAAUUGUUACUUGCUACGUGUGAUCAGUUUGAAGUAGACUAUACUUUGUUUCAAUAUGACCAUAUACAUUUCUGACACCUUAAAAGCAACGAUUACAUUCAUUAUCUCUAACAUUUCAGCAGCAUUAACAGUUUUUAUAAGAAAUACAAUAAUUUCAUUUAAGGGACAUUUUGUCCCCAAGAAGGAAAUUGUUUAUUUUAAGGCAGGGACUUAUAAAACAAUAAAUCUAACACUUUGUUUUCCUUUCUGCUUCCCUGGCUCCACAGCAAGAAGACAUGAAAGGACUGUGUCCCAGAACAGGGGAGUCCCUACCUCCAGCUUGUGCUGGAGUGGUGGCACAGGCCUGCCCUGUAGAUCCAAAAAACCUUUUCCAAACUUCCAGCUCUGUAAAUCUUGGCUCCACAGUAGCAGCCUGAGACCCCUUCCAACAGGGUGGUGAAGCUCAGCCAGGCUGCAGACCUGGAGUGCACAGCCCUACCCUGGAAAUGUUCCUGCAGCUACCUAACCCAGAGCUGCAGAUGCUGCCUGGCAGCGUUACAUCUGGCCAGGUUCAGAAUCCAGGUCAGGUUCAAAUUCUCUGAAAGUUUGUUAAAACUGAGACAUUUUGGACAAGACAUUCAAGACUCAACAAAAAGGCAUUUUUAAAGUAAAUUCUUUAACUGCACAAUUCAUAACAAAUACCAACUCUGAGUUAACUCAUUAAAUAAACAGCAAAGGGUUGAAUUUUGGCUGCCUUCAGCACCUCUCGUCUCUAGCUCUAAGGAAGGUAUCAGUUCUCUAGUGAGAGGCUAAUUAAGCCUCUUAUUUCUCGAUGUUAUUCCCCACAGAAGGCUCUGACACAGGAAAAUAAUUAUUCCCAUUUUGAAGCCAAAAUAUAAAACACUAUCUGUAACUGACGUGAUUGGUCCACGGAUGCACCAGGACGUUAACCUGAUUUUUGAAGUUCCUAUUACAAUCUGCUUCCCUGACCUUAGAACUUCUGUUUCCAUCGUUUUUUGCCCUUACUGCAGCAGUACAGUCUCAAUGCCACAUUUUUGUCUUUCAGCUGCAUCUAUUUAAUUAUGAGUUAGUAUCCCAAAAGAAGAACAAAGUGAUUAUACUUCUAUGUGAAUUUUCAGGAUCUUUGUCUGGUUAUAGAUAUAUGAAUGAAAAUAAUGUAUGAGCAUAUAAAUAGAAAAUUAAAGCUUUAUUGUGGCUUCUUUGAAAGUCUGGAACGCGUCUCAGAAGACAGUAAAGGAAACUGGAAAAAAGGCUUUGUUUCAGCUGAUAAAUGUCUGUUCUCUCAAGUUUAAAAUCCAUGGUGGAAAAGGUGAAUGAAACAAGCCCACCAACAGUGGCUAAAUCUAUUAACUUCAUUUUUAUUUUGAGCAUAAGAAUACUUUUUUAAAAAUUAAAAAAUUAGUUAUAAAGAUAUUUAAUUAAUUGGGAUAUAGAUCAAAAU
Molecule: long non-coding RNA, 2860 nt
Organism: Lepidothrix coronata (blue-crowned manakin)
Lineage: Eukaryota; Metazoa; Chordata; Aves; Passeriformes; Pipridae
Exons: 3
Source: RefSeq, a predicted model, not a curated record